This 393-nucleotide ribosomal RNA is filed under the name uncultured bacterium. RNAcentral's name for it is "bacterial SSU rRNA". It matches the Rfam family "Bacterial small subunit ribosomal RNA", at positions 39 to 422 of the family's 1533-position model. The record is from RNAcentral.
GAAUUCACUAGUGAUUCAGGCCUAACACAUGCAAGUCGAACGGCAGCACGGAGCUUGCUCUGGUGGCGAGUGGCGAACGGGUGAGUAAUAUAUCGGAACGUACCCUGGAGUGGGGGAUAACGUAGCGAAAGUUACGCUAAUACCGCAUACGAUCUACGGAUGAAAGUGGGGGAUCGCAAGACCUCAUGCUCGUGGAGCGGCCGAUAUCUGAUUAGCUAGUUGGUAGGGUAAAAGCCUACCAAGGCAUCGAUCAGUAGCUGGUCUGAGAGGACGACCAACCACACUGGAACUGAGACACGGUCCAGACUCCUUCGGGAGGCAGCAGUGGGGAAUUUUGGACAAUGGGCGAAAGCCUGAUCCAUCAAAGGGGCGUGAGUGAAGAAGGCCUUCGGG